RNAcentral lists this non-coding RNA (27 nucleotides) under Cricetulus griseus (Chinese hamster). The record is from RNAcentral. Lineage: Eukaryota; Metazoa; Chordata; Mammalia; Rodentia; Cricetidae.
GUUCGGUGCUCACCUCCUGGAGACAGC